RNAcentral lists this long non-coding RNA (836 nucleotides) under Coccomyxa subellipsoidea. Its description in RNAcentral is "long non-coding RNA (CSUB_LNC000128)". Lineage: Eukaryota; Viridiplantae; Chlorophyta; Trebouxiophyceae; Coccomyxaceae. The record is from RNAcentral.
CCUCUUCUCCAGAACCGACUGCUCCUCUGCGCGCCCUGGAGAGGCUCCUUCUGCACGACUUGCACAAGAGCUUAUCAUUUUGCGCUACAAUUGCAAGGUUUCCCAUAAGCAAAGACUUUACGAAGGGCGCAAUGCACUCUCGCCUUUAAGCACGCAGAAAGCCAUGCAUGCAAGCAGUGUGUCAACAGAAAGUCACCAUUAAUGUACAUCAGGCCUGCAUCAGCCUCACCUUGCUCUUCAGAAGCAGGCACGCCGGCGACAGUGGACCUGAACAUGGCCACGCUUUCGCUCAGCUGCUCGUAGGUGGACGCAAUCUCCAGCGCAACUGACAGGGCCUCCAUGCUGCUCUCCUCCCCAUCACCAGCUGCACAACACACCGUCACUCGUUUAAAAAUGGCCCGGGGAGGCUGCACAAAGCCUGUUUGCACUGCAGUACGGUCUCCCAGAAUGCCAACCUUGUUGGUACAUCUGACAUCAGUUAGUCCAGCUGCCAUGUGCUGUCACAAUCCCACCCUGCCAAUGCCGCUACUGUUUGCACUGCAGACUAAUCUCCUUUGGCAGGAGGCUGCUCGGUAGCCUUACAAUGCCUUGAUAAAAUGAGAAUUAAACAUGCAUGCUUAGGAAACUUCAGGUCAAUGCUGAUUGCUGGCAUGCGUAACUGGCAAGGCCAGCUCUGCUAAAACAAUUGAGCACCAACAGGGACCCACCGAGGUCCUGGGCGCUGCGUUUGAAGAUGGUGCACUGGGUGUUGAGUGUGGUGAGUGCGUCCAUGGGGCUCGGUGCCGCGGCUGAGGAAGAUGGCGCGGCGGCCGCGCCACCCCGUUGCCAGCCGAAUG